GUUUGAUCCUGGCUCAGGAUGAACGCUGGCGGCAUGCCUAAUACAUGCAAGUCGAACGAGAGGAAGGAAAGCUUGCUUUUCUGAAUCUAGUGGCGAACGGGUGAGUAACACGUAGGUAACCUGCCCAUGUGCCCGGGAUAACUUCUGGAAACGGAUGCUAAAACCGGAUAGGUAGCAGACAAGCAUUUGACUGCUAUUAAAGUGGCUAUGGCCAUGAACAUGGAUGGACCUGCGGUGCAUUAGCUAGUUGGUGAGGUAACGGCCCACCAAGGCGACGAUGCAUAGCCGGCCUGAGAGGGCGGACGGCCACAUUGGGACUGAGACACGGCCCAAACUCCUACGGGAGGCAGCAGUAGGGAAUUUUCGUCAAUGGGGGGAACCCUGAACGAGCAAUGCCGCGUGAGUGAGGAAGGUCUUCGGAUCGUAAAGCUCUGUUGUAAGAGAAAAACGGCACUCAUAGGGAAUGAUGAGUGAGUGAUGGUAUCUUACCAGAAAGUCACGGCUAACUACGUGCCAGCAGCCGCGGUAAUACGUAGGUGGCGAGCGUUAUCCGGAAUGAUUGGGCGUAAAGGGUGCGUAGGUGGCAGAUCAAGUCUGGAGUAAAAGGUAUGGGCUCAACCCGUACUGGCUCUGGAAACUGAUCAGCUAGAGAACAGAAGAGGACGGCGGAACUCCAUGUGUAGCGGUAAAAUGCGUAGAUAUAUGGAAGAACACCGGUGGCGAAGGCGGCCGUCUGGUCUGGAUUCUGACACUGAAGCACGAAAGCGUGGGGAGCAAAUAGGAUUAGAUACCCUAGUAGUCCACGCCGUAAACGAUGAGAACUAGGUGUUGGGGGAAUAACUCAGUGCCGCAGUUAACGCAAUAAGUUCUCCGCCUGGGGAGUAUGCACGCAAGUGUGAAACUCAAAGGAAUUGACGGGGGCCCGCACAAGCGGUGGAGUAUGUGGUUUAAUUCGAAGCAACGCGAAGAACCUUACCAGGCCUUGACAUCCCUUGCAGAGAUAUAGAGAUAUAUCCGAGGUUAACAAGGAGACAGGUGGUGCAUGGUUGUCGUCAGCUCGUGUCGUGAGAUGUUGGGUUAAGUCCCGCAACGAGCGCAACCCUUGUGA
RNAcentral lists this ribosomal RNA (1108 nucleotides) under gut metagenome. RNAcentral's name for it is "bacterial SSU rRNA". It matches the Rfam family "Bacterial small subunit ribosomal RNA", at positions 11 to 1110 of the family's 1533-position model. The record is from RNAcentral.